This 208-nucleotide non-coding RNA is filed under the name Aurantimonas sp. 22II-16-19i. Its description in RNAcentral is "Bacterial large subunit ribosomal RNA". It matches the Rfam family "Bacterial large subunit ribosomal RNA", at positions 211 to 413 of the family's 2925-position model. The record is from Rfam by way of RNAcentral. Lineage: Bacteria; Pseudomonadati; Pseudomonadota; Alphaproteobacteria; Hyphomicrobiales; Aurantimonadaceae.
UGGAGGAAGAGAAAGAAAAAUCGAUUUCCUGAGUAGCGGCGAGCGAAACGGAAAGAGCCCAAACCAAGAAGCUUGCUUCUUGGGGUUGUAGGACACUCUAUACGGAGUUACAAAAGAAAGUUAUAAAUGAAGCGGUCUGGAAAGGCCCGCCAAAGACGGUAACAGCCCGGUAGUUGAAAUAGCUUUCCCUCCAGAGUGGAUCCUGAGU